GCAGUCGAGGGGUAUAAGUCUUCGGAUUUAGAGACCGGCGCACGGGUGCGUAACGCGUAUGCAAUCUACCUUUUACAGAGGGAUAGCCCAGAGAAAUUUGGAUUAAUACCUCAUAGUAUUAUGAAAUGGCAUCAUUUUAUAAUUAAAGUCACAACGGUAAAAGAUGAGCAUGCGUCCCAUUAGCUAGUUGGUAAGGUAACGGCUUACCAAGGCUACGAUGGGUAGGGGUCCUGAGAGGGAGAUCCCCCACACUGGUACUGAGACACGGACCAGACUCCUACGGGAGGCAGCAGUGAGGAAUAUUGGACAAUGGGCGCAAGCCUGAUCCAGCCGUGCCGCGUGCAGGAUGACGGUCCUAUGGAUUGUAAACUGCUUUUAUACGAGAAGAAACACUGCUUCGUGAAGCAGCUUGACGGUAUCGUAAGAAUAAGGAUCGGCUAACUCCGUGCCAGCAGCCGCGGUAAUACGGAGGAUCCAAGCGUUAUCCGGAAUCAUUGGGUUUAAAGGGUCCGUAGGCGGUUUGGUAAGUCAGUGGUGAAAGCCCAUCGCUCAACGGUGGAACGGCCAUUGAUACUGCCAGACUUGAAUUAUUAGGAAGUAACUAGAAUAUGUAGUGUAGCGGUGAAAUGCUUAGAGAUUACAUGGAAUACCAAUUGCGAAGGCAGGUUACUACUAAUGGAUUGACGCUGAUGGACGAAAGCGUGGGUAGCGAACAGGAUUAGAUACCCUGGUAGUCCACGCCGUANACGAUGGAUACUAGCUGUUGGAAGCAAUUUCAGUGGCUAAGCGAAAGUGAUAAGUAUCCCACCUGGGGAGUACGUUCGCAAGAAUGAAACUCAAAGGAAUUGACGGGGGCCCGCACAAGCGGUGGAGCAUGUGGUUUAAUUCGAUGAUACGCGA
Molecule: ribosomal RNA, 900 nt
Filed under: uncultured bacterium
Lineage: Bacteria
Description: bacterial SSU rRNA
Rfam family: Bacterial small subunit ribosomal RNA
Source: RNAcentral